AGAGCUUUGGAUUGGAGCUCGCUACCUGCCGUCCUCAUUGGAUGUAGCUAAGAAACUUCACGGAUUGGUGCGAAAAACAGCAGGUAGGACAUCUUCCACUUAUGAUUGGCUGUCUCCGAAGGCUAACGUUACUGGAGAAUUGGGUAUUGAGUAAGCAGGUUCUGAAAAAUGAUUGGUUGAGACGACUCCGGAUGUGCAUGACUGAGCACUGAUUGGUAAAUUGAAGGGUCAGGAAGAGCAGUUCGGCACGAGGAUUGGCGGCGAAGUGUCCCAUGGAAACCGAACCCGGAGCUGCGGCCAGCAUUUGCACGGGGGCGGGGCAGGGUCUUUCCAAGGCGCCUGCGCUAAACCGGCUUCUCGGCGCCAUUUUGUCUGAGCGGCGGUGGUCGCAGCUCUAUCGCAUUUUACGUUUCUGGCGAGACGAGAGCCGACUGUGUAUCCUGUAGAUUCAUUUUAGUGCGGCACCUAUCCACGGUUCACUCCAGGACAGCACCUAGUGAAGGUCGGAGGAGUCGCGAACCUGUCAACAGGUCGGUUGGAAGCUGUGGCUGUCCGAGUGACUAGGGGAUGGCGCAGCUUUAGCGGCACCGGCACCGGAAGUGGACGGGCCGCGCGGCGGCCAUGGCAAAGCGGUCUGAAGAAAACCAAAAUCUCUCAGUGUCAUAUCCUAAAGUAUUACUGAGGUAGGCGUUUGUAUAGUGGAACAUUUUGCUGCACAGAAGUGACAUUUAGAGGAUACUAAAAACUACUGUUUUUAUGAAUAAACCUCAUUUUGUGGGAAAAUGAAGGAAGAUGUUCCAGUUUUAAAAGACCUGGAUCUACUGUUGAAAAUUCUGUUUCUGGUCCCUUUAUGAAUGAUGGAAAUAGAAGCAAAUGGAUAGUCUUAAUCAGAUAAGUGCUUUAAUAGUCUAAACAUAUUUUUUGUAAUCCCUAAACUAAAACUUGAUUCUUUAAAACAUUUUUGAUUUCUCUUUUCAGGUGCCCAUAUCAAGAGAGUUUACAGUAAAUAAGGUACUGGAUCUUCUCUGAAAAUAAAUUUAUGAUCUUAUCAAAGUAAAAUGUACCAGCUUUUUCCCCCCACAAAGGCUAAUCAAUAUUUCAAUGGUGCAAUUACAGAGUGCCUCCCACAGUUGAACCUAGAUUAUUAAUUUUACAUAUACUAUGUAUGAAAGUCAACUGUCUCAUAGCUGAAAUAGG
Molecule: long non-coding RNA, 1197 nt
Organism: Herpailurus yagouaroundi (jaguarundi)
Lineage: Eukaryota; Metazoa; Chordata; Mammalia; Carnivora; Felidae
Exons: 5
Source: RefSeq, a predicted model, not a curated record